UCCUGUACUACCGAUAACCGUUUGAGAGAAGGGAUGACACAGUAGGAUAAGCUAAGCACACUGUUGGCUAUGUGUGCCCAAGCAUUGAGGCAGUCAAAGUAGGCAAAUCCGCUUUGAUAAUGCUGGGAUGUGAUGGGGAGCGAAAUUUAGUAGCGAAGUAGCUGAUUUCACACUGUCAAGAAAAGUCUCUAUCGAGGUUAAAGGUACCCGUACCGCAAACCGACACAGGUGGGUGAGGAGAGUAUCCUAAGGCCA
RNAcentral lists this ribosomal RNA (255 nucleotides) under Clostridioides difficile. RNAcentral describes it as "partial 23S ribosomal RNA". It matches the Rfam family "Bacterial large subunit ribosomal RNA", at positions 1437 to 1687 of the family's 2925-position model. The record is from RNAcentral. Lineage: Bacteria; Bacillati; Bacillota; Clostridia; Peptostreptococcales; Peptostreptococcaceae.